This is a small nuclear RNA of Rana temporaria (common frog), 187 nucleotides long. RefSeq annotates it as U2 spliceosomal RNA. NCBI's taxonomy places the organism in Eukaryota, Metazoa, Chordata, Amphibia, Anura, Ranidae. The transcript has a single exon. The record is from RefSeq and is a predicted model, not a curated record.
CAGGCUUUUCAAUAGAAAAAAAUCUGUUUUUAUCAGUUUAAUAUCUGAUACGUUCUCUAUCUGGGGACCAUAUAUUAAAUGGAUUUUUAGAACAGGGAGAUGGAAGAAGAGCUUGCUCUGUCCUCUCUCACGCAGUGUCAAAAACCAGAAUUGAAUGGAAAAUCAUCCAGCUUGCCUUGCUCCCAAU